Molecule: small RNA, 30 nt
Filed under: Bombyx mori (domestic silkworm)
Lineage: Eukaryota; Metazoa; Arthropoda; Insecta; Lepidoptera; Bombycidae
Description: piRNA piR-bmo-1786646
Source: RNAcentral
UCCGAGCCGAGUGGCCAUAUAGUUGGCAUC